AGCAGCCGCGGUAAUUCCAGCUCCAAUAGCGUAUAUUAAAGUUGUUGCAGUUAAAAAGCUCGUAGUUGAAUUUCGGGGUUUAUCCGUUGGUCGGGCUUUUGGGUCUGUACUGGCGUGAUGGAUUCCUACCUUCUGAAUAACCAGCAUGCCAUUAAUUUGGUGCGUUGGGGAAGCAGGACUGUUACCUUGAAAAAAUUAGAGUGCUUAAAGCAGGCUACUGCCUGAAUACAUUAGCAUGGAAUAAUGAAAUAGGACGCAUGGUUCUAUUUUGUUGGUUUCUAGGAUCACCGUAAUGAUUAAUAGGGAUAGUUGGGGGCAUUAGUAUUCAAUUGUCAGAGGUGAAAUUCUUGGAUUUAUUGAAGACUAACUUCUGCGAAAGCAUUUGCCAAGGAUGUUUUCAUUAAUCAAGAACGAAAGUUAGGGGAUCGAAGACGGUCAGAUACCGUCGUAGUCUUAACCAUAAACUAUGCCGACUAGGGAUCGGACGAUGUUAAUUUUUUAAUGACUCGUUCGGCGCCUU
Molecule: ribosomal RNA, 520 nt
Filed under: uncultured Acaulospora
Lineage: Eukaryota; Fungi; Glomeromycota; Glomeromycetes; Diversisporales; Acaulosporaceae
Description: SSU rRNA
Rfam family: Eukaryotic small subunit ribosomal RNA
Source: RNAcentral